This 494-nucleotide ribosomal RNA is filed under the name uncultured bacterium. RNAcentral's name for it is "SSU rRNA". It matches the Rfam family "Bacterial small subunit ribosomal RNA", at positions 26 to 518 of the family's 1533-position model. The record is from RNAcentral.
AGGACGAACGCUGGCGGCGUGCUUAACACAUGCAAGUCGAGCGGAAAGGCCCUUCGGGGUACUCGAGCGGCGAACGGGUGAGUAACACGUGAGCAAUCUGCCCCUAGCUCUGGGAUAGCUCCGGGAAAACCGGGAUUAAUACCAGAUACAACCACUUUAGACAUCUUUUGUGGUGGAAAGGAUUCCGGCUAGGGAUGAGCUCGCGGCCUAUCAGCUUGUUGGUUGGGUAACGGCCCACCAAGGCGACGACGGGUAGCCGGCCUGAGAGGGCGACCGGCCACACUGGGACUGAGACACGGCCCAGACUCCUACGGGAGGCAGCAGUGGGGAAUCUUGCGCAAUGGGCGAAAGCCUGACGCAGCGACGCCGCGUGGGGGAAGAAGGCCUUAGGGUUGUAAACCUCUUUCAGGUGGGACGAAGCCACUCGGGUUAAUAGCCCAGAGGGUGACGGUACCGCCAGAAGAAGCCCCGGCUAACUACGUGCCAGCAGCCGC